Molecule: non-coding RNA, 23 nt
Filed under: Arabidopsis thaliana (thale cress)
Lineage: Eukaryota; Viridiplantae; Streptophyta; Magnoliopsida; Brassicales; Brassicaceae
Source: RNAcentral
UUGAUUAUGUGACUACAAUGCCA